GGGGGGGGGGGGGGGGGGGGGGGGGGGGGGCGGGGCGAGCGGGGCCUGCGGGUCGAGUGGCGCACGGGUGCGUAACGCGUGGGAACCUGCCCUUAGGUUCGGAAUAACUCCCCGAAAGGGGUGCUAAUACCGGAUAAUGUCUUCGGACCAAAGAUUUAUCGCCUUUGGAUGGGCCCGCGUUGGAUUAGCUAGUUGGUAGGGUAAAAGCCUACCAAGGCGACGAUCCAUAGCUGGUCUGAGAGGAUGAUCAGCCACACUGGGACUGAGACACGGCCCAGACUCCUACGGGAGGCAGCAGUGGGGAAUAUUGGACAAUGGGCGAAAGCCUGAUCCAGCAAUGCCGCGUGAGUGAUGAAGGCCUUAGGGUUGUAAAGCUCUUUUACCCGGGAUGAUAAUGACAGUACCGGGAGAAUAAGCUCCGGCUAACUCCGUG
Molecule: ribosomal RNA, 433 nt
Filed under: uncultured bacterium
Lineage: Bacteria
Description: partial 16S ribosomal RNA
Rfam family: Bacterial small subunit ribosomal RNA
Source: RNAcentral